This 104-nucleotide small nuclear RNA is filed under the name Notamacropus eugenii (tammar wallaby). The record is from RNAcentral. Lineage: Eukaryota; Metazoa; Chordata; Mammalia; Diprotodontia; Macropodidae.
GUGUUUGCUUUGGUAGCACAUAUAUUAAAAUUAGAAUGACACAGAGAUUAGCAUGGGCCCUGUGCAAGGAUGACAUGCAAAUUCAUGGAGUGUUCUAUAUUUAA